CCUACGGGGGGCAGCAGUGGGGAAUAUUGGACAAUGGGCGAAAGCCUGAUCCAGCCAUGCCGCGUGUGUGAAGAAGGCCUUCGGGUUGUAAAGCACUUUCAGUGGGGAAGAAAGCCUUGUGGCUAAUACCCUCGAGGAAGGACAUUACCCACAGAAGAAGCACCGGCUAACUCCGUGCCAGCAGCCGCGGUAAUACGGAGGGUGCGAGCGUUAAUCGGAAUUAAUGGGCGUAAAGCGCGCGUAGGCGGUCUGAUAAGCCGGUUGUGAAAGCCCCGGGCUCAACCUGGGAACGGCAUCCGGAACUGUCAGGCUAGAGUGCAGGAGAGGACGAUAGAAUUCCCGGUGUAGCGGUAAAAUGCGUAGAGAUCGGGAGGAAUACCAGUGGCGAAGGCGGCCUUCUGGACUGACACUGACGCUGAGGUGCGAAAGCGUGGGUAGCAAACAGGAUUAGAUACCCGAGUAGUC
Molecule: ribosomal RNA, 465 nt
Filed under: Vreelandella stevensii
Lineage: Bacteria; Pseudomonadati; Pseudomonadota; Gammaproteobacteria; Oceanospirillales; Halomonadaceae
Description: partial 16S ribosomal RNA
Rfam family: Bacterial small subunit ribosomal RNA
Source: RNAcentral